Molecule: ribosomal RNA, 554 nt
Filed under: Alternaria alternata
Lineage: Eukaryota; Fungi; Ascomycota; Dothideomycetes; Pleosporales; Pleosporaceae
Description: eukaryotic LSU rRNA
Rfam family: 5.8S ribosomal RNA (bases 200-353)
Source: RNAcentral
UUAGGUCUCGUAGGUGACCUGCGGAGGGACAUUACACAAAUAUGAAGGCGGGCUGGAACCUCUCGGGGUUACAGCCUUGCUGAAUUAUUCACCCUUGUCUUUUGCGUACUUCUUGUUUCCUUGGUGGGUUCGCCCACCACUAGGACAAACAUAAACCUUUUGUAAUUGCAAUCAGCGUCAGUAACAAAUUAAUAAUUACAACUUUCAACAACGGAUCUCUUGGUUCUGGCAUCGAUGAAGAACGCAGCGAAAUGCGAUAAGUAGUGUGAAUUGCAGAAUUCAGUGAAUCAUCGAAUCUUUGAACGCACAUUGCGCCCUUUGGUAUUCCAAAGGGCAUGCCUGUUCGAGCGUCAUUUGUACCCUCAAGCUUUGCUUGGUGUUGGGCGUCUUGUCUCUAGCUUUGCUGGAGACUCGCCUUAAAGUAAUUGGCAGCCGGCCUACUGGUUUCGGAGCGCAGCACAAGUCGCACUCUCUAUCAGCAAAGGUCUAGCAUCCACUAAGCCUUUUUUUCAACUUUUGACCUCGGAUCAGGUAGGGAUACCCGCUGAACUUAA